CUUCACCGACCCCAGCCACAACGGCCGCUCCUCGUAACGCUCCUGGCCGUACGUCGCCAGCAGCGCGCCCGCCUC
Molecule: non-coding RNA, 75 nt
Organism: Streptomyces sp. CB02056
Lineage: Bacteria; Bacillati; Actinomycetota; Actinomycetes; Kitasatosporales; Streptomycetaceae
Rfam family: ASpks TB sRNA
Source: Rfam